GAUGAACGCUGGCGGCGUGCCUAAUACAUGCAAGUCGAGCGAACAGACGAGGAGCUUGCUCCUCUGACGUUAGCGGCGGACGGGUGAGUAACACGUGGAUAACCUACCUAUAAGACUGGGAUAACUUCGGGAAACCGGAGCUAAUACCGGAUAAUAUAUUUAACCGCAUGGUUCAAUAGUGAAAGACGGUUUUGCUGUCACUUAUAGAUGGAUCCGCGCCGCAUUAGCUAGUUGGUAAGGUAACGGCUUACCAAGGCAACGAUGCGUAGCCGACCUGAGAGGGUGAUCGGCCACACUGGAACUGAGACACGGUCCAGACUCCUACGGGAGGCAGCAGUAGGGAAUCUUCCGCAAUGGGCGAAAGCUUGACGGAGCAACGCCGCGUGAGUGAUGAAGGUCCUCGGAUCGUAAAACUCUGUUAUUAGGGAAGAACAAAUGUGUAAGUAACUAUGCACGUCUUGACGGUACCUAAUCAGAAAGCCACGGCUAACUACGUG
This 497-nucleotide ribosomal RNA is filed under the name uncultured bacterium. RNAcentral's name for it is "partial 16S ribosomal RNA". It matches the Rfam family "Bacterial small subunit ribosomal RNA", at positions 28 to 507 of the family's 1533-position model. The record is from RNAcentral.